AUUGAACGCUGGCGGCAUGCCUUACACAUGCAAGUCGAACGGCAGCACGGGAGCAAUCCUGGUGGCGAGUGGCGAACGGGUGAGUAAAGUAUCGGAACGUGCCCAGUCGUGGGGGAUAACGUAGCGAAAGUUGCGCUAAUACCGCAUACGAUCUAUGGAUGAAAGCGGGGGAUCGCAAGACCUCGCGCGAUCGGAGCGGCCGAUUUCAGAUUAGGUAGUUGGUGGGGGAAAGGCUCACCAAGCCGACGAUCUGUAGCUGGUCUGAGAGGACGAGCAGCCACACUGUGACGGAGACACGGCCCAGACUCCGACGGGAGGAAGCAGUGGGGAAUUUUGGACAAUGGGCGCAAGCCUGAUCCAGCCAUGCCGCGUGCAGGAUGAAGGCCUUCGGGUUGUAAACUGCUUUUGUACGGAACGAAAAGGUUUGACUUAAUACGUUGGACUCAUGACGGUACCGUAAGAAUAAGCACCGGCUAACUACGUGCCAGCCGCCGCGGUAA
This 500-nucleotide ribosomal RNA is filed under the name uncultured bacterium. Its description in RNAcentral is "partial 16S ribosomal RNA". It matches the Rfam family "Bacterial small subunit ribosomal RNA", at positions 30 to 523 of the family's 1533-position model. The record is from RNAcentral.